CCCACGUAUACUUUUCUCCCUCCAGCCCGGCCUGUCAAGAUACAACCCGGUCUCUACGUAUUUGAAGGGUGGGAUCGGUGACUAUCUUCCUCCCAAAAUCCCAAGGGAGAAUCUCUAGGGUCGGGUGUCUGUCCUUACCUGAGCCUCCAGAGGUGAGCAAGAGUCCAUGGUGCAGGCUUACUGUCUGGUGGUCACCAGGUAUAACCAGCGGUCUGGGCUGGAGGCUAAA
Molecule: non-coding RNA, 229 nt
Organism: Pelobates cultripes (western spadefoot toad)
Lineage: Eukaryota; Metazoa; Chordata; Amphibia; Anura; Pelobatidae
Source: the annotation of a GenBank genome assembly